This 361-nucleotide ribosomal RNA is filed under the name uncultured bacterium. RNAcentral describes it as "bacterial SSU rRNA". It matches the Rfam family "Bacterial small subunit ribosomal RNA", at positions 28 to 416 of the family's 1533-position model. The record is from RNAcentral.
GGUGAAUGCUGGCGGCGUGGAUAAGUCAUGCAAGUCAAGGGGGCCCGCAAGGGCAACCGGCAAACGAGGUAGUAACACGUAGGUAGACCCCCCCAGAGUCGGGCAUAGCCAGCCGAAAGGUUGGGUAAUUCCCGAUAGUCCCGAAAGGGUAAAGGUUUUUCGCUCUGGGAGUUGCCUGCGUAGUAUCAGCUAGUUGGUAGGGUAAUGGCCUACCAAGGCUACGACGCUUAGGGGAGCUGAGAGGCUGACCCCCACCGAUGGAACUGCGACACGGUCCAUACUCCUACGGGAGGCUGCAGACGAGAAUAUUCCGCAAUGGGCGAAAGCCUGACGGAGCGACGCCGCGUGAUUGAUGAAGUGC